UUCUGAUUUAAUCAAGCAAACAAGUUUUCAACAUGUCUACUCUAACAAUCGACGAGCCAACAUUUUUGGACAAUUUCCUUUAUUAUGGCCUGUUUCUGGGUGCAAUAUUUCAGUUAGUGUGUAUAUUCGCUGUGGUAUUCAUACCUCAAAGUGAAAAUGAGGAGGAGCCACUUGAUGAGCCUGUUCAAGAGACAAAGUCUGGUGCCACAUCUCCACAAACAUCAAUGAAAAAAGGUGGUAAAAGGGAGAAAAAGAAGCACCGCUGAAAGGCUGCUUGAUUGAAUCUCAUUCAUUAGAAUCAUUACUCAUUAAUCAAGGUGUACCAACAUUCCAGUUGUGAAUAGUUAUGAUCUCUUAGUAGUGGUAUAGACUGUUUACAUGAUGACAGUGUUGUGUGCAUAAUUUACAUGUAUAUAGUUAGUAACGCAACUUGCUUGUUUAUUUUUUCUCAUGGUAAAAUAUUACACUAGAAUAUACAAUGUAUGUGUAUUACAUAGUCAAGUUAUAUGCGUUGUUAAUCAUUUCAAAAAAGAGAUCGGCAUAAUGGUGAAAACAUUCUUCCAUGACAAGGGACAAAACUGAAUGUAAAAAGAAAAGUAACUAGGUCUCCCUUAGAUGUCUUAAGGUUAGAAAUUUACCCUCUAUCAUAAUGUCAAUGUAGGUAUUUUUAUGAUGUAAGGUUAAUGCUUUAUGAAUUAAAGAUUGUCUUUAUACAUUUUCGAAAUUUAUACUGCUUUAUUCUUAAUUGAAACACAAUCUGCAUAAUUUUAUACAUGUACACAUUGUUUAAAUACUGAAGGUUAAGCAGGUUUACUCUCUCAAGUAACAGUGUAACUUACAUAAAUUUGUAAAAUGCUUACAAAAACUUAUUUUAUUUACAUACAUAUAUUUUUUCAGUUUAUUUGAAAAAUAAGCAAUUGUUAUAGCAGGGGGUCGAACGUAUAGCGGUGCGAUACUCCUUUAAGCGAGGUGAUUUCAUGCGAUACGCCCUAAUGGCGGAUUUACCCGUGUAAACACACGUCAGAGUGAGUGUUUUUUAUUAAGUAUUUCAUAAAUCUUCGAUUACAAUUGCAUAUUUUGUAUUGAGGAUGUGAAGAUAGGACCGACACACAUUUCAUCAAAUUUACAGAGGCCUAAAUUCAUAAUUUAAAAAGUUAUUGAAGGUAAACUGACGGCAACUAAUUUUGGGUCGGUGAAUAAAAUCGCUUAAUGCAAGCUUAUAUUAAUAUAGUUAAUUUCUUUUUCUUCUUUAUUCUAUAAGAGUAAUCAUUAUUAAGUUGCAUAGCAAGUACCUUUGUGCUCCGAUAUACAUAGACGCUUACUGGUCAAAAUAUUUAAGUGUACGCUGGAUUUUGGUGCGAUAAAAUAACUGUACGCUGUUAAAGGUUCGAUAUGUUUCAUUGUCACAUCUGCUGUACAUGUUUUCCUAUGAUUAUACUAAGAUAUCUACCAUAUAUGUGCCCGUUUCCGGAAUUCUAAAAUCUUCUUUCCUUAAAGAUUUACUUGAAAUAAAAGUAUUGUAUAACCAUCUAUAUAAGUGUUAGAACUUAAUUUGAAUAAUUAGUAAUAAUUAUCCUUUGAUAAUUAGGAGUUGGAAAAAGGUAACCUUUACUCUAAGAUCUUAGAUAAAAAGUAGGAAUUUGACCAAAAAUAUGUAAGAAUGAAUUUAAGAAACAAAUUACUUAAGAAAUCUUGUAUAAAUUAACUCACUUUCAAAGCAGAACAUUUCAGAAAAAUAGCUGUUAAUAUGUGAUAUAAGGGCUGUUUUACUUCAUGAGGUUCUAAGAUCUUUUGUACAUGCUGCUGUCAAACUGAUAUUUUUUCAUAUUAUAAAUAGAAUUGAACAUUUCAAACAACCUAUAAAAUACAGUGAAAGUACAUUUCACUGCUGUUCUAGAGAUAGAGACUGAGAACCAGGUGGUAAAAAUCUUUAGGUGGUAAAAUUCUUUUCUAAAAUGUUGCUUAGAACAGGCUAUUUUUGUAGUGCACAUAAUUGUGGCCUGUCAGGAAAAAACACAAAACUACAAUUUCAAAAUUCAGUCAGUCAUUGGACACCAAACAGCUCAGUGUCUUUCUUAGGAACAGCUGAUCCUCAAAUGUGCAAAUACACAGUUGUAAAUGUUACAAAAGUAAAGUACAAAUGCUGACACAUGUACAAAUAAACAAAAAGCUAUUGAGUAUAUAAUAUAAGAUUGAGUCACACUGCUUAUGGAGUAGUAUAUAAUUAAAUAACGCAUGGGUUUGUGGGUUACAGUUAGAAUAUCAUCCCAAGGAAAAUACUGUUAGCCAAGGUGUUAGCCGAGGGAAACAGUAUUUUUAGGAGGGUUGAUAUUUUUACUGUUACUCACACACGCUUGUGUGUUAUUUAUAUUAUUUCCCAAACAGAUACUGUAAUCUAUAAUACUUUUAUUUACAUAAAACGCACUUGCCCAGAUUCUGUACUGUUAAAAAGUGCUGUUAUCCUGUAACAGUACAAAUCUCUUGGUACACUUUCUUUAACAAUAAGAGUAACUCCUAGUGGAAAUGAAUAUUUACAAAAAAGUGAGGGGUAAUGUAUACAUUAAAUGUUGCAGAGAAAGCCUAGUUUUAAAAGUAAAACUACUGGCAGAUAUGUUAAAUCACUAAAAGUAUGAAUCCUGUUGACAAACAUCAGAAUUACUGAAAUACAAUGAUGUGCUCUGUAUAUAAUAUAUAACAUCCAAUCCAUAGAGGAAAUCAAACCAGUAUUUUUUUUUAUAAAUUUCAAGUUCCAUUGCAAAAAAAAAAAAAAAAACUAAAUGGAAGAAACAAAACGAAUAUUAUCGUGACUAUUGAUUAUUUGAUAGAAUUUCAAAUUUCUGUGCAUAACUUAUCUCAUUUUAAUGAUUAACAUUUGUUAGAAAAGAAUAUUUAAAUUAACUAUAUCAUAGUAUAAUACAUUAAUUGACACUGUUGUUUUAAUUGACACUGUGGUUUACAUAUGAUUAACAUACAAACUCAAAACUUGAUAUUUCAUCAAAACUGAAUAAGAAUGUACUGUUCUGAGGAAGCUACAGAAAAACAUACCAACAUUUGUGCGUACAGUUGGUUUAUCGGACCAAAUAUUAGGCAUACAGUAAGAAAACUGGAAAUAUUUUAUAUAUUUUCGGAUGUAUAUGGAAAACUACUCUUGUAUAUCGUUUUGUUUUCAAAAAUAAACAUGUUGGGACCUAAACUAAUCGAAUAUCUCGUUUUAAAACGACUGAUACAUUAUUCGUUUGCAUGUGCAUAUCAGGUUGACGGUUGAAUUUGCAGCAACAAAUACCUCAAUAACUUCCUCAAUUCCAUAAAAUUUAGUAUUCUAUUUUGACAAUCAUGCACAUUUAUAAGUUCUAAUCAGCAUGCACAAUGCUAUUCUUUAAAAAAUUACAAAAGACAACAAAUAUUUGGAAAAAAACAUGCUCAUACCCACUUUCGUUUUCGCUCCCGUCCGCCAUUAGGGCGUAUCGCAUGAAUUCACCUCGCUUAAAGGAGUAUCGCACCGCUAUACGUUCGACCCCCUGUAUAGUGUCAUUUUGUUAUAUCUAUGCAUUAAAAGCCUUUUAGUAUAUUAUAUUUUACAUAUCAUUAGAUUUCAAUAUUUUUACAGUAUGUUUCCUAAAUAAAAUAUUUGUAAAUGAUCAA
Ruditapes philippinarum (Manila clam) is the source of this 3642-nucleotide long non-coding RNA. RefSeq lists it as uncharacterized. The record is from RefSeq and is a predicted model, not a curated record. Lineage: Eukaryota; Metazoa; Mollusca; Bivalvia; Venerida; Veneridae. The transcript has 3 exons.